RNAcentral lists this ribosomal RNA (494 nucleotides) under uncultured bacterium. RNAcentral's name for it is "partial 16S ribosomal RNA". It matches the Rfam family "Bacterial small subunit ribosomal RNA", at positions 28 to 507 of the family's 1533-position model. The record is from RNAcentral.
GACGAACGCUGGCGGCGUGCUUAACACAUGCAAGUCGAACGGAUGGGCCUGCUUUUCCUUGUGGAUUGCUGAUACUCGAGUGGCGAACGGGUGAGUAACACGUUGGUGAUCUUCCCCCAACUUGGGUAUAAGACUGGGAAACUGGGUCUAAUUCUCGUUAGGACUGCAGGGUUGUGCCUGUUGUGGAAAACGAUUUUCUAUUGGUUGGGGAUGAGCUCGCGGCUCAUCAGCUUGUUGGUGUGGUAAUGGCCUACCACAACGGCGACGGGUAGCCGGCCUGAGAGAGUGGACGGCGAGAUUGGGACUCAGUUGCGGCCCAGGCUGAUAUGGGAGGCAGUAGUGGUAAAUAUUUCACCAUGAGCGGGAGCCAGAUGCGGCGACGCCGUGUAGGGGAUGGCAGCGUUCGGAUUGUAAACUCCUAUCGACCGCGAGGAAGGAAACUGGCUGGAAGGUUGGUGACGGUACUUGUAGAAGAAGCACCGGCUAACUACGUG